RNAcentral lists this unclassified non-coding RNA (355 nucleotides) under Hevea brasiliensis (rubber tree). Lineage: Eukaryota; Viridiplantae; Streptophyta; Magnoliopsida; Malpighiales; Euphorbiaceae. The record is from RNAcentral.
AGCCCAAUUUAAUAAAGAUGUCAUCAUUCCCCUUCUUGCUUGAGAUCUGCUGCAUGGAUUCAAACACUUUAGUAUCCACCUUUCUUUCCUCGGCCUUGAGUGGCUGCAGGGCCUUCCUCUUCUCUUCUAGCACCUUCUCAUAUUCUUCAAGAGUCAUUUCCUUAUCUUCUGGUUCCUUUUCUUCAGGUUCUUUAGCAGUGGCCUCCUUAUUUGCAUCUGCUGUUUGCUCCUCUCCAACGGGCUUCUCAUCACCCAAGGUUUUAUCACCCUCAUUGACAACUUCCACAGUCACCUGAGCAAGUUCAUCAGCCUGACUUCCCCAGUUCCCACGACCAGACCCCUCUCGUUUGAUCUC